Molecule: ribosomal RNA, 253 nt
Filed under: uncultured bacterium
Lineage: Bacteria
Description: partial 16S ribosomal RNA
Rfam family: Bacterial small subunit ribosomal RNA
Source: RNAcentral
UACGAAGGGGGCUAGCGUUGUUCGGAAUUACUGGGCGUAAAGCGCACGUAGGCGGACUAUUAAGUCAGGGGUGAAAUCCCGGGUCUCAACCCCGGAACUGCCUUUGAUACUGGUAGUCUCGAGUCCGGAAGAGGUGAGUGGAAUUCCUGGUGUAGCGGUGAAAUGCGCAGAUAUCAGGAAGAACACCCGUGGCGAAGGCGGCUCUCUGGUACGUGACUGACGCUGAGACGCGAAAGCGUGGGGAGCAAACAGG